GUCAGCGGCCAUAGGAGCGGGGAAACGCCCGAUCCCAUUCCGAACUCGGAAGCUAAGACCGCUUACGGCGUUGCCUGUACUGCCUUGCGGCGGGAACGCGCGCUGCUGCUGACA
This 114-nucleotide ribosomal RNA is filed under the name Candidatus Burarchaeum sp. Lineage: Archaea; Nanobdellati; Microcaldota; Candidatus Micrarchaeia; Candidatus Burarchaeales; Candidatus Burarchaeaceae. The record is from RNAcentral.